RNAcentral lists this long non-coding RNA (429 nucleotides) under Canis lupus familiaris (dog). Its description in RNAcentral is "lncRNA (ENSCAFG00040014716.1)". The record is from RNAcentral. Lineage: Eukaryota; Metazoa; Chordata; Mammalia; Carnivora; Canidae.
CUGUGCUUGGACGACCUUUCCAUUGUUCAAUUUAUGGAAACAUAUCCUGAAUUUGGCACCACCGAAGAGAUCCUGGACCUGCUGUUUGCAAAGUAUCGAUGCAUCCAAGCGUCCCCCGAGAAAGGAGAAAUCCAGAUGCUCUGGGAAAGCACCAUGACCUCCUUCCUGACCAUCUGGCUGACCUACUACGAGGAGGACUUCGACGAUCCCCCAGAAUUUCCUGCCCUGACAAAGCUGAUGAAUUUCACGGGGCAGUACUUGCCAGACUCAACGCUGGACCGUCGAGUCAACAGUUACUCUGAAUAUUUAAGAAACCUCCAUCAAGCGGAGUUUGAGGGUGGAGGUGAGGAGGACUGGGGUGGCCGAGUGGGGACAGGGUGGGCCACACAGAUCAAGCCUCCGUGCUGCUGGGCCAGGAGCACUGGGUAG